RNAcentral lists this ribosomal RNA (492 nucleotides) under uncultured bacterium. RNAcentral describes it as "partial 16S ribosomal RNA". It matches the Rfam family "Bacterial small subunit ribosomal RNA", at positions 29 to 507 of the family's 1533-position model. The record is from RNAcentral.
AGUGAACGCUGGCGGUAGGCCUAACACAUGCAAGUCGAACGGCAGCACAGUAAGAGCUUGCUCUUACGGGUGGCGAGUGGCGGACGGGUGAGGAAUACAUCGGAAUCUACUUUUUCGUGGGGGAUAACGUAGGGAAACUUACGCUAAUACCGCAUACGACCUACGGGUGAAAGCAGGUGAUCUUCGGACCUUGCGCGAUUGAAUGAGCCGAUGUCGGAUUAGCUAGUUGGCGGGGUAAAGGCCCACCAAGGCGACGAUCCGUAGCUGGUCUGAGAGGAUGAUCAGACCAAGUAGAACUGAGACACGGUCCAGACUCCUACGGGAGGCAGCAGUGGGGAAUAUUGGACAAUGGGCGCAAGCCUGAUCCAGCCAUACCGCGUGGGUGAAGAAGGGCUUCGGGUUGUAAAGCCCUUUUGUUGGGAAAGAAAAGCAGCAGGUUAAUACCCCGCCGUUCUGACGGUACCCAAAGAAUAAGCACCGGCUAACUUCGUG